GACGAACGCUGGCGGCGUGCUUAACACAUGCAAGUCGAACGGUGAAGCACCUUCCUUUUGGUGGGUGUGGAUGAGUGGCGAACGGGUGAGUAACACGUGAGUAACCUGCCCCCUUCUUCUGGAUAACCGCAUGAAAGUGUGGCUAAUACGGGAUAUUCUGUGCCUGCUGCAUGGUGGGUGUGGGAAAGAUGCGCUUUUGGGUGUUUUUGGUGGGGGAUGGGCUCGCGGCCUAUCAGCUUGUUGGUGGGGUGGUGGCCUACCAAGGCGGUGACGGGGAGCCGGCCUGAGAGGGUGUACGGUCACACUGGGACUGAGACACGGCCCAGACUCCUACGGGAGGCAGCAGUGGGGAAGAUUGCACAAUGGGCGCAAGCCUGAUGCAGCGACGCCGCGUGAGGGAUGGAGGCCUUCGGGUUGUAAACCUCUUUCGCCAGUGAAGCAGGCCUGUCCCUUGUGGGUGGGUUGACGGUAGCUGGAGAAGAAGCGCCGGCUAACUACGUG
RNAcentral lists this ribosomal RNA (501 nucleotides) under uncultured bacterium. RNAcentral describes it as "partial 16S ribosomal RNA". It matches the Rfam family "Bacterial small subunit ribosomal RNA", at positions 28 to 507 of the family's 1533-position model. The record is from RNAcentral.